GAUGAACGCUGGCGGCGUGCCUAAUACAUGCAAGUCGAGCGAACGGACGAGAAGCUUGCUUCUCUGAUGUUAGCGGCGGACGGGUGAGUAACACGUGGAUAACCUACCUAUAAGACUGGGAUAACUUCGGGAAACCGGAGCUAGUACCGGAUAAUAUUUUGAACUGCAUGGUUCAAAAGUGAAAGACGGUCUUGCUGUCACUUAUAGAUGGAUCCGCGCUGCAUUAGCUAGUUGGUAAGGUAACGGCUUACCAAGGCAACGAUGCAUAGCCGACCGGAGAGGGUGAUCGGCCACACUGGAACUGGGAAACGGUCCAGACUCCUACGGGAGGCAGCAGUAGGGAAUCUUCCGCAAAGGGCGAAAGCCUAACGGAGCAACGCCGCGUGAGUGAUGAAGGUCUUCGGAUCUUAAAACUCUGUUAUUAGGGAAGAACAUAUGUGUAAGUAACUGUGCACAUCUUGACGGUACCUAAUCAGAAAGCCACGGCUAACUACGUG
This 497-nucleotide ribosomal RNA is filed under the name uncultured bacterium. Its description in RNAcentral is "partial 16S ribosomal RNA". It matches the Rfam family "Bacterial small subunit ribosomal RNA", at positions 28 to 507 of the family's 1533-position model. The record is from RNAcentral.